Passer domesticus (house sparrow) is the source of this 5854-nucleotide long non-coding RNA. RefSeq lists it as uncharacterized. The transcript is spliced from 4 exons. Lineage: Eukaryota; Metazoa; Chordata; Aves; Passeriformes; Passeridae. The record is from RefSeq and is a predicted model, not a curated record.
UUCAGCAUGCCCAAAACAUUGGUGUGCUAUCAAUACCAUUGUAGCUGUAAGUACAAAGAACAGCUCUGUAAUGGUUGCUACCAGGAAAGUUGACUCCAUUCCAACCAGACUCACCCACCAUGCUCGUGUGUGAGUCCUGUGUCACCCAGCUGCAAUCAGAAUCCCAUCUCCCUCCACUUCACCCCUGCAAUGUCAGGAAAAGCCCUGUCUUCUCCCAUUCCAGGCUGAUGCUCGCACUAAAUUUUCCCUUUCCCAUAACAGAGGAGGAGGCACUGAAACCUCCUUCCUUGGCUCCACACAGCUGACAAUUGGCACUGCUGGCCACUCUCCACUGUGCUUUGCUCCUCAAGCCCAAGGAACAGGGCAGCAACCCACUGGACCUCCCUGUCCCAGCCAUGAAGGCUUUCAUCCUCUGAAAGACAAGCAUUCAAAUAGGUGGUGACAUUUGUCUUUCCAAGAGGCAGAUAAUGACACAGCUUGCAAAGAGUACCAUCUCUUCUAGAAAGCACAGGCUUUAUACAAGGAGUGAAAACAUCUGCAACCUUCUCAGUCUUUCUUCUGCAAAUCAAAUAAUUCUCCAGUACUUCCUGCAACCCAGAAGAAGUCCCUGUACAUUUUUAAGUUCCUUCAGAGAGCUCCAUUUGGUAAAGCUGCACAGGUCCUGAAGUUUCUCACUGAGAACAAGGUCUUCACUAUCAUCAGAAAUUAGGUGAGAACAGAGAUGAAAAAUACAUAGUGGUGGAAUCUAGUUGACUUGCUGGAGUCAAAUAGGAGAGAGAUUUGGUUUGUGCAAGAAUGUUAUACCACAACACCUCAGGGCUUCAUAGUCCUCCAUGUUGUAAAUCUUCCUGAAUUGUAGAAGAGAAGAACUGGGGUGGAGAGUGGGGGCUACAGACUGGAAGCAGCUGGGACACAACACGAAGUGUCAUAGUUUCUUGACCUGCAGAAGACAUGGUCAACACAGCAGCUGUUCCAGAGUAUGGCUCAUUCAAUCAAAUUGAAGAGGAUUUCCUAAAUUUUAUCUUCCUGCAGGACUGUCUGAAUUGAUUCUGGAUCUUGUUCCAGUAUCAAGCUUCUGACAUUUGCAUCUUAUCUACAGGCAGUGAGGUACAGUGAGGCUUGUAGAAUGGAAGAUAUUAUCAAGUACAUGCUACGUUGCAUUUGGGGGACUGUACCUCAUAGCUGAGCUAGAGUUCUUAUGCCAUCUUGGGCACCAUCAUCCUGACCUUCCAGCAAGAAUCCUUGCACAUAUCUAUGGUCAGAGGAGUUUUAGGAGCUUGUUCUUCCUUAGACUCAGUCAAGGUCUUUCAGCUGUGUCACGCACAGGGAAUGAAAUGCUGCUUCUGCUGGUCCAAUUUAAGCUGAUGCUAGGUUUUCACCCAAGUUUCAAACAUGGGAAUCAUAGUGGUGAUCCCGAACCUGGCAAGAUUGUGGCUCAGGCACUCACCAGUCCUUGCUCUGCCUCCCUGCUUGCCCAUGCUUUAGAUCAGUGGAAAACUCCAGUGAGGGUUUGUGCACCUCUCGGUCCCGUGAUGUUAUGAAGUACACAGUACAAAUGACUGAGGUUCUCUGGUCCCUGUUCAGUAAGGACUGAUUUCAAAGACAGGCUUAUCUUCAGGAAUCUUUUUAAUAUAUGUCACAAAAAAAUCAAAUGGCCCGAAUCAUAUCUGUGGGUGACCUCAUCCCUUCUUUCACCUCCUCCCACUGCCCACUGGGAUGAUCUCUGUCUGUCUGUCUAUUGCUCUAUAUGUACCCAUGGCCCUUCUCACUGUGGAUAGCUGCUGUCAGACUUACCUAGAGCCUGAAGUGAGGUUAUUUUGCACUAAUGCAUUGUGAUGAUUUGGCCAGGCAGAUGUUUAUGGGAUGAACAUAAAAUUCUGCAGGAAUUUUAAUUGAUUCAAGCACCUACACCUUCCCAACACAGUUAAUUCAGAACCACAACAGUUGCAUUUUCUUUUCUGUCUCCUGGACAUGAUGACAUGAGAGUCAGACAUUAUAGCAAACACCGAGUGAGUCUGAUGUCUUUCUUGGCAUGACAAAGGUGGAACACCAACUGAGCUCUCCUCCCCGUGUCCCCACAGCCCACCUCUCAAUGUCUCUGAUUUCAGCAAGGUUCUUUCAUCUUUGUGAAAAAAUAUGCCUGAUGCAGUGAUUCUGGACUCUCUUUUGAUAUAGUAUUUACCACAUAAACAGAAAUUGACCUUUAGAGACCCUGGAAGAUUUGUAUUCUUAUUGAUACACAAGUGAAAGCUCUUGCUUGGGAGUAUUUGCUCCUCACUGUCUGGAUAUAUUGUGUGUUCUGUCACAAAACCCUCUCAGAAACUUGCAUGCUCUCAGUUCUGCUGCAUGCAGCCUCAUGAUCUGUUAUCUGCUAUCUGUUACUGUAGUACCUUGCCCUGCACUAUCAGUCAUUCUAGGCUGCUGCAAAUCAAACACCAGCAAACAAACAUCUUCUAACAAACAUCGCAGGGGUGUGAGCUGUUCAAUCUGUUUCAGCAUCAGCCAUUAUGACAUUAUGUUACUCAUAAGCCAUGCUGAUAGUCACAAAUGAUAUUUUGCUUUAGGUACUAAUCAAGGAGUUCUGGUCCUCCAGUGUGUCCCUUUCAUCUAGUUAGCAGAGUGGCUUUGAAAGGGCUCAGUAGAAGAGCAGACAUGCUGACAAUGAUUCCAGCUGCCUCAGGCAAAAAGGCAUUUGUUUGGCCAAACUCAUCCAGAAAAUCUACUAUUGUGAGAUAUGGCAGGGUUUUACUGAUCAGGAGGGAAAGGCAUCUUAGUCAAAGAGGAAUUAAAAUAUUCAUUAUAUUUCAAGCAUGUUAUCCAGUGAGGGAGUCUCCUUUUAGAGCCUUGUCCUGCCUCCUUUAAUCAAACUAUUUGCAGCAUCUUGCUCUGGAGAUGGUUUUACAGAAGAAAAAGGACUGUCCACACAGAGAACCAUUAAGAAGUUGGUUCAGCACACAGCACACUUAACCUAUUGCACACUUCACUGCUUAACUGUCUCCACGUGUUGACUGAAUACAGCUGAGGGGUCUUUCUGAAAGUCAUAGCAGACAACACAUUAUACCACCCCACGGAACUAUGUACAUACCUCAUGGCUACAACUGUACAACACUUACAUAACCUUAAACAGCCAGUCUGUGGCCAUGUGGAAGAUUUCCCCUCAUCAAACCAAAAGGGUUUUUUGUCAUGAAGGAGAAAUUCAAAUGCAAAUGGUUCAGCAAUGGCAAUUUGUGACAGAGGAAUUACUUGGUGUAGUUCACAGAAGACUUAACUGCAGAACUGGUUUAACUGACUGGAAGCAGGAAUGCAAAAAACAGAUCAGCCAUCAUAUGAAGGAGAGAAAAUUCCCUUGCUGAUGAGGAAAUAAAUGUGUUAUCUUGCAGGAUGUGUAAUUCAAGUGCUCAAGGGCCAAUUUGGUAGACAGAGCUGAUGCUGUGGAAUUAACUCAAUGCUGGGCUGAGGUGCUCCAUGCCAACAAUCAUCUGGAAACUUCAGCUUGGGAUAGGAGAAAUUACUUCAGCGUGCAUUUGAUGGGAAACUACAGACAAAGCCUGUGAAACAUUAAACAAGGCAGCAAUAAAUUCUGUUACAUAAACAAAAACAGCAGUGCUAAUAUUCUGUCAAUGCUCUAGCUCAAGGUGUAUUGCUCUAGCCUGUCCUCUUCUCACUCUGUAACUAAACUCCAGUCACUAUGAUUGAUAAGCCCUCUGUUCUGAAUCAAAUGGCUGUUUGUUCCUCCCUCCUUUCCUGUACCUUUGAAUUCUUUACAGAAGGUACAAUGAUAUUUAAAGGCAUUUUGUGGAAAAAUAAAAAAAAAGAAAUCUGGCCACAGUUCAAGACUGCAUACUGAUUAUUUCUUUAAACCAGGCUCUUAAGCUCUGUUAGUGAAUAAGCAAAUAUAAACCUAGCUUUCAGAGUAUCCCUUGCACAUCUUCCAUUUAUUAUACAUACAUUUCUUAUACACUAUGAUGCAACAUCUGGAAGGAGACAAUAUUCUCACUGGCAGGUAAUCAUUUAACAAUUGAUGUGUUAAAUGUGAUAUAUUUUUGACACGGAGAGAAAAGCAAUAUGCAAAUAUACCAGCACAAGAAUAUAAAGGCUAAUAAAACAGAACAUAAUAUUACAAUGAUCAUAGGAUACAAGAUGUAAUAUGUCAGAUACAGAUGGUGUGAAUCCCAUAAAAAUAUCACACCAAUGAUGUCCAGCAGUUUGUUCAAUUUCUCUUAUGAUUCAAAAAAAUUCCAGAAGGUAUUAUGGUUGAUUGCAACAGUUACUUGUUUUUGUUACAUAAUAGCUUUUUCAUAUCUAUUUUUUCAGGUUUCCAGUUCUUCAAUUUGAGAGUAUGUUGUACUCCAUACUGGUCCUAAGUUGAAGUCCAGAAUUCUGCCAGCAUUGAUGUGAGCUUUUAGAUAUUUGGACCUCACUGCCCAAGUUACUGCAGAAUUUACCAGCUUUUGUGGGUUUACAAUAUAGAAUACCAGACGUUUCAAUGCAAGGGUUAGCAUUGUCUGAUACACAAAGCUUCCUAUCUUUUCAGAUAUUGUCAACAUUGUCUCCAGUUAUAACACUUCCUCAUCAGUGUAUUAAUAAAGUUCCAGGGAAUAUUUAGUAUCCUUUCUAAAUAGUUACUUUCUGUAGUAUGCAAGUUGAAUGACUACUUUCACUUAUUCAUUUAUCAAUUCCUAGUGGAGGAGAAAGAAAUCUUGGAUUGUCUCCAAGCCUCAGUAAUGACUAGUUUCAUUCUCAGUUUCCCUUAUUCCUUUCCCUUGAAUGUCCAGCAAAGUGACUCUGCGUUUUGAGUGAUAGGUAUUGAUUCCUGAAUCAGGAAAUCUCCUGAUUUCCUGAAUACCACAUCAAGAUAUUUAAAGUAUACUGCUGGUGUUGUUCAGCAUCUUAUUCAUUAAGAAUAUUAACUAUAUCACUUUUCCUGGGAACAGCUCCAGCGAGUAGUUCAGGGACUGUUCAAGGCUCUGUAAUCUACUGGCAGUCACCAUGUGCCAUGAGACUUUUUACCAGCAGCUACACAGGGAGAAUGAGACCUGGUAACAAUUCCCUAUUCCCCACUCCUCUAGUUCUUUAAUCAAUAAUGAUAAUAUUAAUAUAUCAGUUCUUCUAUCAAUAUAAAUUCAAAAUAAUAUAAAUUCAAUGAUCUAAUUAUUUAAUCAGUCUACAGGAUGGAUAGCACUAGAAGGUAACUUGUAAUGUGAAAUGUCAACUAGAUUGCUAUGGGAUAAAGGAGCAGCUGUUUGCAACAGAUUGACAGCCAGGGAUGUAUUUGCAUAAAGCAAACUGUGAGUCAGAGGGUGUGGUGCACCUUUUUUCUCUUUCCCCAUGAGACCACUCAUGACUGUCCCUUGAAUACACACUAGCAGAAAUCUGAGCAGGAGAUGAGUGAACACAGUCCAGGAAUCUGUCUAAAUGUUAGCUUUUAAAUCUGUAAUAGCAGGUCUACUUCUCUUCAGUUUGAUGUUCCUUUCAGUCUGGCUACACUCUUCUACCAUUACUUGGCAGCUAUGACAAUCAUAUAACUUCACAUUGGGUUUAAAUAUUAGCCACCAUGUUUAAUAGUCAUUUGAAAAACUGGUCUGUAUUUCUGCUACUGCUUGUUUAGAAACAGAGGCAUGCAUGAAUGGUGUUUUACAGUGUGGGAUAAAGCUGCAUUACCUACUGCGAACAAUAUCACAUUCUCCACUGUAACACAGAAGAGCUUCACAACAUCCCUCUUUGAUGGCAUUUUAAUAUAUCUGAAGACUAGAGUAUAAGAAAUUUAGAAUGACUGAAGCUGUUUUACCUGGGUUUCUUGUGGAAAACCUGUACCUUUACAGGGCAAAAAUCUUGUCAUCUACAUAGAGCCUGA